Molecule: long non-coding RNA, 1057 nt
Filed under: Numida meleagris (helmeted guineafowl)
Lineage: Eukaryota; Metazoa; Chordata; Aves; Galliformes; Numididae
Description: lncRNA (ENSNMEG00000000260.1)
Source: RNAcentral
UGACACUGGGAGCUGACACUGGGUGACAGUGACGGUGACAGCGGUUGUAGCUGUGAUAGUGAUGGUGACAAGCAGUGAUGGUGACAACGGCGGUGUCCAUGGCAACAAGAAUUGGUGACAGUGACCGUGACGGUGGUGACCAUGGCACCAACAACCGGUGACAGUGACGGUGUUGGUGCCGGUGCUGGUGCCGGUGCUGGUGCCGGUGAUGGUGACGGUGACGGUGACGGUGACAGUCUUGGUGAUGGUGACGGUGAUGGUGACGGUGCUGGUGACGGUGAUGGUGACGGUGUUGGUGCCAGUGAUGGUGACGGUGAUGGUGACGGUGAUGGUGACGGUGACAGUCUUGGUGAUGGUGACGGUGCUGGUGACGGUGCUGGUGCCGGUGAUGGUGACGGUGAUGGUGACGGUGCUGGUGACGGUGACAGUCUUGGUGAUGGUGACGGUGAUGGUGACGGUGAUGGUGACAGUGAUGGUGACGGUGAUGGUGACGGUGAUGGUGACGGUGAUGGUGACAGUGAUGGUGACGGUGAUGGUGACGGUGAUGGUGACGGUGAUGGUGACGGUGAUGGUGACGGUGACAGUCUUGGUGAUGGUGACGGUGAUGGUGACGGUGCUGGUGCCGGUGAUGGUGACGGUGAUGGUGACGGUGAUGGUGACGGUGCUGGUGCCGGUGAUGGUGACGGUGCUGGUGACGGUGAUGGUGACAGUGAUGGUGACGGUGAUGGUGACGGUGAUGGUGACAGUGAUGGUGACGGUGUUGGUGCCGGUGAUGGUGACGGUCAUGGUGAUGGUGACAGUCUUGGUGAUGGUGACGGUGCUGGUGUUGGUGCCGGUGAUGGUGACGGUGAUGGUGACGGUGACAGUCUUGGUGAUGGUGAUGGUGAUGGUGACGGUGAUGGUGACGGUGACGGUGAUGGUGACGCUGUCCCCGUGUCCAGGUGUUGCUGGAGCUGCGGGCGCUGGCGGCGGUGCCGCGUCUCGGCUCUGGCCCCCCCCAGGGGGAGGUGAGCGGGAACCUGCGGCUGCUGCACGGGGUGAGACUGGGGGCACUGGG